This 288-nucleotide ribosomal RNA is filed under the name uncultured bacterium. RNAcentral describes it as "partial 16S ribosomal RNA". It matches the Rfam family "Bacterial small subunit ribosomal RNA", at positions 773 to 1060 of the family's 1533-position model. The record is from RNAcentral.
GUGGAUUAGAUACCCUGGUAGUCCACGCCGUAAACGGUGGGCGCUAGGUGUGGGUUUCCUUCCACGGGAUCCGUGCCGUAGCUAACGCAUUAAGCGCCCCGCCUGGGGAGUACGGCCGCAAGGCUAAAACUCAAAGGAAUUGACGGGGGCCCGCACAAGCGGCGGAGCAUGUGGAUUAAUUCGAUGCAACGCGAAGAACCUUACCUGGGUUUGACAUAUACCGGAAAGCCGUAGAGAUACGGCCCCCCUGGUGGUCGGUAUACAGGUGGUGCAUGGCCGUCGUCAGCU